CCACACAGAACAGUAAACUCCCCACUUUCAUAUUUCCAGGCCCCCUAGCCUCUAACUCAAGGAGUUCUCCACCCCUGGUUCCUGUCUCACUCAGGAACCUUGCGAUCAACUUCCAAAAUAAUCCAGUGGAUUGUGCCUCUGUCCCCUCGUGGCUUCCCGAAGGGGUGCUCUCCUUUGGUUGUGUCCCUUCAGAGUCAGCCUUCAUUGGCCCUGCCUUGAAAAACCUUACCAGCAAGGAAGCUUCAAUGCUGAAAGACAUCUAUCACAGGCAAGACUCUCUAGCCAGCUUUGCGUUGCUGCUCUUCGUUGAUGUCCUUGGCAAUUGCACAGUCCAAAUUGAAGUGGUGAAGGUCAGUCACAUGUUCCAAUUUUGCUGCCCUUCCUUUCCACUGACUUCUCUUCUUCUCCAGCCGUGGUUCUCAGAUUUCCCCGCAUAAUAAUAGAAUCAUAGAGUUGGAAGGGACCCCAAGGGUCAUCUAGUCCAACCCCCCCAAUGCAAGAAUCUCAACUAAAGCAUCCAUAACAGAUGACCAUCCAGCCUCUGCUUAAAAACCUUCAAGGAACGAGAGUCCACCACCUUCUGAGGCAGUAUGUUACGCUGUCCAACAGCUCUUACCAUCAUAAAGUUUUUUCCUGAAGUUUAGUUGGAAUCUCCUUUCUUAUAACUUGAAGCCAUUGGUUCUAAUCCUAGCCUCUGGAGCAGGAGAAAACAAAUUUGCUCCACCUUCCAUGUGACAGCCCUUUAGAUAUUUGAAGAUGGCUAUCGUAUCUCCACUCGGUCUCCUCUUUCCCAAGCUAAACACACCCAGUUUCCUCAACCAUUCCUCAAGGGGCUUGCUUUCAAGACUCUUUAUCAUCUUGUCCACCCUCCUCUGCACAUUCUAAUCCAGAUGUGAUCUGACCAAGGCAGAAUAGAGCAGUACAACCCCUCUUGAUCUAGACACUAUUUCUGUUGAUGCAGCUUGGAAUAGCAUUAGCUUUUUUUUGCUGCUGCAUCACCCUGUUAACUCAUGUUGAGCUUGUGGUCUACUAAGACCCUAGAUUAUUUUCACAUGUAAACCAGGUGUACCCCAUCUUAUAUUUGUGCAGCUAGUUAUUCCUGCCUAAGUGAAGAACCUGACAUUUAUCUCUCUUGAAAUCCAUUUUGUUAGUUUUUGACCACUUUUCCAAUUUGUGAAGGUCAUAUUGAAUACUGAUUCUGUCUUCUGUGGCAUUAGCUACCCCUCCCAAAUUUGAUGAGCGUCCCCUCAAUACCUUCAUCCAAGCCAUUUAUAAGGACACUGAAAAACAACAAGCCCUGGACAGAACCCUGCAGCACCCCACUUGUCAUGUUUUUCCCAGGAUAACAAGGAAACAUUAGUGAGCACUCUUUGGCUUCAGUCAGUCAACCAACUACAAAUCCACCUAACAGUUACCUUGUCCAGCCCACAUUUUACCAAUAUAUUCUCUGCAAGAAUAUCAUGGGGACUUUGUCAAAAGAUCAAGAUAUACUAUGUCCACAGCAUUCCCUUGAUCCACCAGGCUUAUAACUCUACUAAGCAAAGAAAUGAGAUGAUGUUCUAUAAGCAAUUAGAAGUAUUCUAUAAGGUGUAGACAGCAGUCAUGAAAUUAAAAGACGCUUGCUUCUUGGGAGAAAAACAAUGACAAACCUAGACAGCAUCUUAAAAAGCAGAGACAUCACCUUGCCGACAAAGGUCCGUACUGUUAAAGCUAUGGUUUUCCCAGUAGUAAUGUAUGGAAGUGAGAGCUGGACCAUAAAGAAGGCUGAUCGCUGAAGAAUUGAUGCUUUUGAAUUAUGGUGCUGGAAGAAACUCUUGAAAGUCCCAUGGACUGCAAGAGGAUCAAACCUAUCCAUUCUGAAGGAAACCAGCCCUGAGUGCUCACUGGAAGGACAGAUCCUGAAACUGAGGCUCCAAUUCUUUGGCCACAUCAUGAGAAGAGAAGACUCCCUGGAAAAGACCCUGAUGCUGGGAAAGAUUGAGGGCACAAGGAGAAGGGGAUGACAGAGUACGAGAUUGUUGGACAGUCUCGAAGCUGCGAACAUGAGUUUGACCAAACUGUGGGAGGCAGUGGAAGACAGGAGUGCCUGGCGUGCUCUGGUCGAUGGGAUCACAAAGAGUCGGACACGACUAAACAACAACAACAAAAUAAGGUGUAGAAUACUAUGCCCACCUGAAGGAAAGACAUGUAGACUGUACAACAAAUAUGUUUACAUAUUAUGAGGACAAAGAUUGUACAUGAAGACACUUUAUUAGGAGGAGUUCCACAAAUGUUAUCAGGGAGAGGGGAAUUAAGCUAGCAUACCCACAAGUGAUAGCAAAGAACAUGUCAUGGGUAAAUAAAUGGACAUCCAUUCCAAAGGAGCUGAAUUUCAUAAGGGCCCUCAAUUCCUCUAUUUAUUUUCCAUUUUUGCGUAUUCUGUGGCCAUAGCGACCUGUGGCCCUCCAGAUCUUGUUGGAUUGCAAAUCCUAUCAGCCAUAGUCAGCACUGCCACUCCUGAUAUAAACCCUCUAUGAAACCGAUUCCCACUUGUGGCUUGCUCCCACCCAUCACAUUCAUAAGGCACUAUUGCUUAGAAAAGUGCUUAGAAAGCACGUCCCUGUGACUUGUCCCCCUUUUGUCAGUCCAGGCACUGCUUUUCUCCAUCUCCAAGAAAGGGAGAAUAAACGAGCACAGUGUUUAAUGAUUUAAUGAAGAUAGUUUAUAAGAUACUGGUAAUCUAUUCCUAUUUUUGCUCUUUUUUGAGGCAUAUCCUUCUCUUCGAAUUCAUUAACUUAGGUAGCUUUCCAUAGAUGUUGGCAAGGAUGAUGACUUAUAGUGGUUCAAAUUCUCAUUUCUGAUCCAAGGCAAGUUUCUCACAUUGCCAUUUACAUCUUAUGCAGACUUUAUUAGGACCAGACUUUUUAAAAACUAAUUUUCAAAACGGAGACAUGCUGACCCACUCUGCACAUGCUUCAUACAGCAUAUGGCUGAAGUAAAGAACAUCAUCUCUUUUGUUCAACGGUGAGGGUUUUAGAAAAGAGAGAAAAAAUCCUUCUGGUCCUUUUACUUUCCUGGCCUUCAAAUAAAGCUAAUUACAAAGGGGGGAAAAGUUGGAACUGGUGGAGAGUGAUCAUUUAAAGCCAUUUCUUUUGCAGAAUGGAACAAAAAGAAGUACUGAGGGCAUGGAUAGGCCCUGGAAAAAAAGAAAAGAGAAAAACCAUCUAAUGAGGAUGUUGAGAUAAGUGCUUGUGAAGAAAACUGGCAAAAAAAGAGCUUUUAGUCUAAAAUCCAUAAAUAAGUGGGCAUCAGAUGGGUACUAGAACAUUUAUAAUAAGAGAGGCCACCAAGCUGUAUCCUUCAAUGCAAGAGCUGCAACCUUAGAAAUCUUAUUUCUUAACAAGCUACUUUCUCCCCUUUUCAAAUAUUAAUUUUUAAAAAAGAAAUACUUGAAAAUUAAGGAGUUUUAUUCAUGUCUUUGAAUCCAUUAUAGAGGCAGGCACCAUCAGUAGGUCUGCUUAAAUUUAUAAUUAUGACAGCUGGCCGGCUCCUAUCUCUCUAUGCAUGGAGAAGUUCUAAGUGGUUUGGACCUCUGAUCUCUUUGGCGACCUUGAAACAUGGAUGAAAUAUGCGCUAGAGGUGUACAGUUUUAGCAAGAAGAGUCACACGCAGUCUCCUCUUACAGGCUGCUGCUCCCACCCUUGGCCCUGAAUCACUGGGGGCUCAGAUCCUCUUGGUAUACAAAGAUGUGUACAGGCCAGAUAUUUGAGGCUCAGUCUAAUUAUCCGAGAAGGACUUUGUCCUCACGCAUUGUCUGAUUCAGCAUUUAAUGCUGCUCUUGUAGGGCAUGAAAGAAAAGGG
Podarcis lilfordi (Lilford's wall lizard) is the source of this 3840-nucleotide non-coding RNA. NCBI's taxonomy places the organism in Eukaryota, Metazoa, Chordata, Lepidosauria, Squamata, Lacertidae. The record is from the annotation of a GenBank genome assembly.